This is a long non-coding RNA of Canis lupus familiaris (dog), 492 nucleotides long. RefSeq lists it as uncharacterized. The transcript has 3 exons. NCBI's taxonomy places the organism in Eukaryota, Metazoa, Chordata, Mammalia, Carnivora, Canidae. The record is from RefSeq and is a predicted model, not a curated record.
CGCCGGCUCGGGCUCUCGGCGCGGCGAAGUAGCUUCCCGCGGCGGCGGCGGCGGCGGCGGCGGCGGCGGGCGAUGCUGCGGGUCUCCCCAGGCGCCGGUGUCCUGGCCUCUUCCUAAAGAACGAAGAACAAACUAAAUUCAUCUCAAAAUGAUUAUAAAUCAUCAAGACGGAGUAGUCUGCCACCUGAACUACUCAUAGGAAAUGACAUUAGAGGAAGACUUCAAAGAAACUUGAAAAAUUUGGAACCUAUUCACCUGAGGCGCCCGAAAAAGAGACCGUCCAUAUUUCCAGGUGCCAAAGGAGGGAAAACAAUGUGUUGGACCGUAUCCAAUUAGGAUAAAAACUAUAGGAGGUGGAUGAAGCCUACAACUUUGAUUUCUGAAAGAGAUUAAGUCUGGGUGGGCAAAGGUGAUGGUGUCCCAAAGGACGGAGGUGGUGGGACAUCUGGGGAGGUGCUGAGCCAUUCUCCAGUCACAUAUGAGUGGUCUUCU